Molecule: long non-coding RNA, 1117 nt
Organism: Oreochromis aureus
Lineage: Eukaryota; Metazoa; Chordata; Actinopteri; Cichliformes; Cichlidae
Source: Ensembl
CUCACCGAGGCAUAAACCGACAAACGUCCGAGAGGACUUUAUUUCCAAAAUUCCACGACAACACGUGCCCCAGUGUGUCGUGAUCGACCCUCAUCUUGCUGUGUGUUCUGUCCGUUUGCCAGUGUAAGUUCAGUGAAUUUCAUUAUUUAGCCUGUUGAAUAUAAAGACAGAAAAUAAAAAGAGACACAAAUACAAGUUAAAAUUUGGAAUUUGUUUCAUUGAUUUGGAAUUUGUUUUAAAAUUGCUAAUCAGUUGUAUUUAAAUAGGGCCCAAUAACAAAAGCUGAUUGAAAGUGCUUUAUAUUAUAAAGACCGUACAGUGCAAGAGAGAAAACCCCAACAAUCUGAUGAUCCCCUAUGAGCAAGCACUUGGCGACAGUGGGCAGGAAAAACCCCCUUUCAAUGGGAGGAAACCUGCGGCAGAACCAGGCUCAGGGAGGGGCGGCCAUCUGCCGAGACCGGUUGGGGGACUUGAAUCCACUUCUUAUCAAAUUUCUCUCUUGCUACGACAUUUGUGAUUUUAUAUAUUUGGGUAUUUAUCUGAAAGAAAAAGACAUGAAUACUGAGUUGGUGUUCAAAGCCACCAUUUCAAGUUGUGCGUUUAAACGGCUUGGUGAUGGCUUUGGCCAGUGCAGUGAAAAACCUGACAAUGGCAGACGGCGUCUUUUUCGGUUUUGACAGAUGUUCAGUCAAGCUAGUUGCAAUGAGUUUUACAGCUGUGGAUUUCUGUAACUCCAGAGCUACUUGAACACUUUCUACACUCCCAAAGACAUCGCGCAGGUCUUUGAGAAUGUGCUUUUCAAGAUUUUUAAGGGUUUGGGGAGUUAUAAUAAGUUCUUUAUCCUGCAGUUGGUCCCAUACUUCUUCCAGAACCCAACUGUGGAUGUUCUCUGAGCAGCCACAAGUGCACAUGAUGUUUAAUUUUUUAGCUAUACGGCUAUCAAUCUGCAAAGGAUUACUUUGAUAUAAGCUUUACGUACAGAAGCGUCUGGCACAGUAUGGUCAGGUUUUGGAUGGGAUGUUGGGACACUUGUCUGUGGUUCUGUCACUGACUGUGUACCGCGUAAUGCGAGCAUUACGCUCUGACUCUGGCUCUCAGCCUGGGUGAAAAACCACCA